GAGUCGAUUUUCCUGAAGAUUCUCCCCGAGGAGGAGUUCUGUCCUCCUGCUCCGAACCCCGAGGACAUCAUCUACGACGGGGAGAACACCUCCCCCACCUCCACAGGAGAGGAGGAGGGGUUAACAGCAGCAGGGGGGGAGGAGAAACAGCAGGAGGAGGAGACGAGCCUUCAGCCUGAGGAGUAACCUGUAGAUAUAAAGUGUAAAGACCUCCUGCAGUGCAUUGACGUCUCUGCCAAAGGCUUCACUCCAGCAGUGAAGCCACGCCCCCACACAGACUGAAGCCGAGCACACCUGAAACAGGAAGUUUACCUGGCAGCUGUGAUCAGACUCAGCUGUUGUUGUUUACUGUAACAGCUGUUUGUUUGUAAACUCUGUGAAGCCUUCCAGAUGUUUCUGCUCAUGUUAAUAAGCUCCUCUGUGAAGUCAGCCGGCGUCCCCGAAUAAAACGUUUGUACCACAUGA
Neolamprologus brichardi is the source of this 465-nucleotide non-coding RNA. NCBI's taxonomy places the organism in Eukaryota, Metazoa, Chordata, Actinopteri, Cichliformes, Cichlidae. The record is from RefSeq and is a predicted model, not a curated record.